This is a long non-coding RNA of Hemicordylus capensis (graceful crag lizard), 3966 nucleotides long. RefSeq lists it as uncharacterized. NCBI's taxonomy places the organism in Eukaryota, Metazoa, Chordata, Lepidosauria, Squamata, Cordylidae. The transcript is spliced from 2 exons. The record is from RefSeq and is a predicted model, not a curated record.
GUUAUUUUUCCUAAGCGUGAAUCACAUCACAGAUGUUCCUCCAACUGCAACCUGGCAACCUCCCUUUUCAGUGCAGAGGAGCCCCUCCCUCUUCCUGGUCCACCAAGUCCGUAUCUCAGCAAGCUCCGUAGCACUUGCGUUGCCAGACCAUGGGCAAAGCGGUAGAACAUCUCAAGGGGGCAUGCCAAGUGUGAUUGUGCCUUUUCAGAAUGCCCGCCCUUGGCAUUUAAAUUCCUUCAUCUGAUAGCAAUUGCACUGCCACCCUAGUAAGAGCCCUGCAACAAAACAGCCUUGCACAAGCACAGUUUUCUGGUGUAGGGGCUGCUGCUGAGGGGUACUAUUUUUAUAGUACUCCAGGAAGGGAAUGUGGUGACUUCCAAGGAGGAGAUAUAUACAGUAUAUGAAGGAGGGCAAAGGAUCCUGGGGUCUGGCCCACUGUGACCAAGGAUGCUCUUGUGAUGGCUGAUGGAGACCAAACUGCACUCCUGGCCCUAUGUCAGCUUGCUGCCUGGAAAUUAGCCCUCUCAUAAGAGGGUCAGUUCACGGUGGAGGACCUUAGGCUCGAAAACCUUCGGUCUUCCAUCAGACUGCGUGCUUAUGAGUUGAGCCAUCCAAAAAAAGGGGGGCCUGCUUGUAUGGGGCCCCUUUCUCACUAGUUAAUGGUAGAACUUUUGCACAGUGAUCCCCUUCUCUCCAAGGAAGCCUUUGCCACACCCAAAAGAGAAUUUGAAUCUCCCUGGGUCCAGGCAUUGCCGGGUUGGCAGACUGGGGAAUGGCAGACUGGAGAAACACUGGGACCAAGGAAAGAUCUUGACUCUCAUUCAAAUUUCCUGAGUUUGGAGCAGCAUUGCAACAUAUCCAGAUCAGCCACUGCAGGGAAUCGCAGGAGAGGGGAGGCCUGAUUUCCAGCAACCCCAGGAGAGUGGGGUUGCUGUACCAGGCAAAAAUUAAAAUGUCUAUGUCCCAAUGGGCAGCCAGACUGGGAGAGGUGUUGCAGGGAUACCUGUCCCUGUGGCUUGCUUGUGUGGAGCAACCAGUCUGGACGCCAUCUGCCAGCCCGCCUGCAUGUCUCCAUGGCCUAACAGACUCAUGACAGAGCAGUCUGUGGGAGAAGGACUUUUGUCACACAUUAUUAGCGAUUCAGCCCAAUCCCACUUCUUCUCUUGAGUUGUGAAUGAGUAUCCCCAUGGCCUUGCACUCUCGUGACAGAGCAGUCUGCUCAGGAUCAGUAUCCGUCAUCAUGACACAUGUAGGAGCAUUAUCUCCAGUGAAAGGAGCCUUCCGCUGGAGGCAGUGUUGCUCCUGCUGGAUGGUUCUUCCCAUGAGUAAGCCAUGGGGCUACAUGUGUUAACCCAAGGUGAAAGGGCUGGGCCCUCCCCCAACAUCACUGUACAAAAAAUAGACCAGAGCCAUUAAAAGGGCUGCCUUUUAAACCCAACCCUGGAAAUCACCACCCUGCCAUAUGUUAUCUCCCCAGUGAUCUAAUCGGGUUGCCUGGUAUAUAAUGCCACUGCAACUGCAUGUGCUUGUGAACAUUCAUCUUUAUCGCUUUAUUUUCAGACAGCAAAGCACAUAGUGCCUGUCUUGCCAUCCUAUCCCCUUUUUCUCCUGAUUGCCAGGAGGGGGGAACAAGGGACCGUGUGGGGAGAGGGCAUGCCCCCAUGUGACUUGCCUGUUUGAUAGGCUUACAAGCUUGGAAUGGGAUGUGGUGACGUCCCUGUUGCUGGGCAACUGCUUUAUUAGAUCGGAGAUGGGUGCAGGGCAAGUGUUCAGAGAGGCAGACAGUGGCAAGUGCCAUAGGCAUGGAGCAGUCACGAUCCCGGGAGCGUCUGGGCCACCCUCUCUAUGUUUACAGCUCCGAAAACAACACAAAACCGUGGUUAUGGCAGCGUUGACAUUUGGACAAAAUGCUGCUGCCCUCAAACCUCAGGUUGGGGCAGUGAAACUCAUUACAAACUGAAGGUUCAGUCUGGAGUUUGAUGAGGGAAAAGGCAGGUCACUUUUGCUGUGAAACCGUGGUUUCAAAAUUUGGACAUUCACAAAUUCCAACCUUUGCCACCAUUUAACUGCGGUUUCGUGUGACAUGCAAAUGCAGCCACUGUUUUAAGAAUCCCUCUCUCUAGCUGAUGCUGACCAAGGAUAACAAAACAUGCAGGGGCUGUACACACUAUGUAAGUACUCCCUUGGAACCCACUAAACCAAAGAACAUGACAAGCACAGCAGCCCACCCGACAUCCCAUCCACCCCCUGGAUGGUCUGCAGGCAAAAUGGCAUGAGGCUGCUCUUCCUCCUCCCUUCCAAACAGAAGUGGAAGGAAGAGGAAGAUCUCUGAAAGUGUGGUAUUAAUAGGAAAAAGAAGUGGGAGUGAAGGUUGGGGGAGCCAUUUGGUUCCCUCCUUCAAGCAGCAUUAAGUAAUGGAUCUGUAGAGGGGUUAAUAAUACAACAACCCCCUCCCCUUCAUUGUAGUAACACUGUGUAAGUGUUAUUACACAGCACUUGUGUGCUUCAUUGCUCCAUGUUCUGAGAAGGAUCCAUCUUUUGGCAUCCAAGUUAACAAGAUCUUCACUUAAAGGGUCUGCCAUAAAGAAGUAAGAGUGUAUCCCUGGGAACUCGCCAACUCAAGGAUCCUACUCACCAUUGUCUAGUGCAAUUAAGCUCAUUAGUUUUCUCUUAUUUUAUUUUGAGAUUGUUGCAGGAUUGUAGAGCAAAAAGAGCUCAUUCAGUUAAAAAAGUGGCGGGGGGGCUGUGUGGGGCAAGCUGCAGUGUAUGUAACUGGGACAUCCAGAAGCAGAUGCUUCCUUACUAAGUCAUAGCAUGCUGAAUAAUCUCAGUGCUACUUCCCAUGGCUCUGGGAGGCCAAUGUUGGCACAUGCGUAAUACAUAUGAAGAAGAAGAUUCAAACAUUGUUCUUUUAAGGAAGCUGUAAUUUUGACAAGUGCAAUGAGGGAAAGAAAGGAACGAAACUCUUCCCCUACUAGCCACUUUUCUCUUUAAAAGUAAAUUCCCCAGCUACGUUUCUCCCUGCAAUGUUCCAGAUGUGUGUUUACAGAGUUAAUCAGCGACUUAGCUCCAAGGGGAGACCAAUGGCCUUGGGCUUCUGAGGAGGGGCCGUGCCAGCUGGCUCUUUGCUGACCAUUGAUAAGUAAUGUCAUAAUUAGUGAACGUGCCGAUGCCGUGCAUAGGCUGCUGGGAACAAGGAAGGAGCCGCGCACAUUCUUUUCGGCAACACAGCUCCAUGACCGGAAUGGUGGCAGGGCAGUGGAGUGAAGGAGCAGAAGGAUGCCAGACCACCUGGAAACCCCCAGAGGACACCCCGGACAAUGUGCCACCUCCCACCCACAAGUUGAGACCGGGUUCCCCCCGCUCUCCUGGCUUGGACUCUAUCCUGGACUCUGUCCAGAUUCACAUACGCGUGGAACCGAAGGAGGGCUUGCAUACAUUGGCGAUGCCUUGCAGAUCGCGACUAACUCAGAUGGACACUUAUUUUCUUAUGGCUGUCUUGACCUGCAUGUAUGUAUGUAACCUCCCACCUCAGGAAUGUGAUCUAUAACAUAUCUGCAUGCUAAACGAACGAUGCCAGCACAGCGGCUGACCACGCCAGGAACUCCUGCUGACAACACCCCUGGAGGACCCCCCUGGACCUGGAGAAGACCCUCUGCCAUCAAGGACCCACGCCCAGAGGCUGCAAUUGGCAGAAGAAGACUGGCACGGCCCUGCCAGCCACACGCAAGGUGAGGCUGGGAUCUGUCCCUCCCUUGGACCUUUUGGACAUUCCUCUCACUGAACUCUUUUAACUGGACUCUACCCAAACCCAUAGGAACUUGCGUACAGUGCUAUAUCCUCUCUACCAUUGCAACCACACAUUCGUUAGUACGCGGCCGUAUUUUAUCGGGAAAUUCUAUUCACUGUUGCUUUUGUAAACCAUAUGUUAAACAUUCCCUAAUAAAAGUCAUCCAUCUUGUUGCA